This is a long non-coding RNA of Ipomoea nil (Japanese morning glory), 195 nucleotides long. RefSeq lists it as uncharacterized. The record is from RefSeq and is a predicted model, not a curated record. The transcript is spliced from 2 exons. Lineage: Eukaryota; Viridiplantae; Streptophyta; Magnoliopsida; Solanales; Convolvulaceae.
GGUAGGUAUACAACAACGGUGGAAUAUGCCCUUCCUCUUGAAUGGUUAGUGAUUGUUAUGGAAUACAUAUUUAAUAUAUGGAAUCUCUAUAGAUUAAGGCAGUCUUAGGGAUUUAACGUGUUUCUUAUUCGAAGUCUUCUAGCAUGUAUUUAUAGGCUUGGUAUUCUCUUUUCUAUACGACAGCACAUUUAGAAA